RNAcentral lists this ribosomal RNA (406 nucleotides) under uncultured bacterium. RNAcentral's name for it is "partial 16S ribosomal RNA". It matches the Rfam family "Bacterial small subunit ribosomal RNA", at positions 30 to 526 of the family's 1533-position model. The record is from RNAcentral.
AUUGAACGCUGGCGGCAGGCUUCACACAUGCAAGUCGAACGAGUGGCGGACGGGUUAGUAAUGUCUGGGAAACUGCCUGAUGGAGGGGGAUAACUCCUGGAAACGGUAGCUAAUACCGCAUACCAUCAGAUGUGCCCAGAUGGGAUUAGCUUUUUGGUGGGGUAACGGCUCACCUAGGCGAAGAUCCCUAGCUGGUCUGAGAGGAUGACCAGCAAAACUGGAACUGAGAAACGGUCCAGACGCCGACGGGAGGCAGCAGUGGGGAAUAUUGCACAAGGGGAGCAAGCCUGAUGCAGCCAUGCCGCGUGUAUGAAGAAGGCCUUCGGGUUGUAAAGUACGUUCAGCGAGGAGGCGUUACCCGCAGAAGAAGCACCGGCUAACUCCGUGCCAGCAGCCGCGGUAAUAC